Molecule: long non-coding RNA, 948 nt
Filed under: Homo sapiens (human)
Lineage: Eukaryota; Metazoa; Chordata; Mammalia; Primates; Hominidae
Description: HSALNT0296287
Source: RNAcentral
CUUCUCCACUCGCCUCCAGGAAUGGGUGUUGUAAAAGUCAAGUCAGCAUGUAUGAGAACACCAAUCUAUAAGAGUGUUCAACAAAGGAAGGCAUUGUUAUUUUACUAUCAUUAUUUUUACUACUUUAUGUUAUUUUGGAAAGAGCCAAGUCACCGAGGUGUCUUCUAUUAAAUCAAUUAGCCUGGAAGGAGAACUAAGCAAGAUGAGAAACUGAACGUAUCUGUGACUCUGCAAGCAGUCCCUGACGCUGUGGUGGGAUCCAGGCCUGGACGCUGUGGAUAAGGAAACCAGCAACAUGGGGACAGAUAAAAGUAAGAAGCAGGUUACCUUCGCUCUCUGGUUUUGGAACCACACCUGGACGACACGGACACUCAGCCCUGUCUCUGCAGCCAGAGUCUCUCUCACCUUGGAAAAAUUGAACGAGAAAUGUAGACACACUGGCAUCUCAGGGUAGGAGGUAGAACAUCUCCUAUAUAAUACUUGAGGAGGCCAAAAGACUGUAUCUGCUUUAGGAGCUGAAUAGUUUUUAAUGUUGAGCAUACACACAAACACGAGAACAUUGCUUCCCUUCAGGUAGAAAGAAAGUCCUUCACCAGGUAACUUUGGGUGUUUCAUGAAUAUCCAUAGUGACUGCUACCCCAAGUGAGCCCUGCCCAAAGAGAAUAAAAUGAGAGCCAUCUGGAACCCGGCAGAGCCAGGAAGUGUGGCCACAGGACUACAUUCUGGCCAACACAUAUGAGGAGAAAUGAUUUGAGCAACCCCUGGAUACAUCCUUAAAAAGCAGGGCGCUUGCCCUCCAUUUCCUCUUUCUCUACCUGGUGACUGGAAACAUGGUGACAACUGGAGCAGUCGCUUGGACACAGGAGAUGGAUAACAGAGCCACCCACCAGCCUUGCCUUGCUCACCUCUGGACUGUGACAGAAGAGAAUAAACUCCUGUCUCAUUAAA